Molecule: long non-coding RNA, 4240 nt
Filed under: Vigna radiata
Lineage: Eukaryota; Viridiplantae; Streptophyta; Magnoliopsida; Fabales; Fabaceae
Description: long non-coding RNA (VRAD_LNC000012)
Source: RNAcentral
UCAAAAUGAUUUGUUUAUAUUUACAGCAUGGCUUUCUUAUUGGUUGGCUAUGCAGGAGCAGCUACAAUUGCAGCACUCCUCUGCAUGUUACGCUUCUUCUAUCUCAGACGAUGUUGCUCGAACCCCAUCUUCACCGAAUACCCUUUUGUCGGCAUGCUACCACAUGUUCUUUGCAAUUUGUGGCAUGCCCAUGAUUAUUCAACUCAGGUUUUGAAACAACAUGGCGGCACUGGUGAGUUCGUUGGACCAUGGUUUACCGGUAUGAACUACAUGCUCACCUGUGAUCCCCUCAACGUGCACCAUAUGUUGAGCAAAAAUUUCCGUAACUACGUCAAGGGACCCGAGUUUCGGGAGAUUUUUCAAGCUUUCGGAGAUGGCAUUUUCACUGCUGAUGCAGAAGCUUGGAAAUACAGCAGAGAUCUCUUCCAUUCUUUGCUCAAGCAUAAAAGCUUCGAAGUGUUUCUGGAGAAAACUAUUCAGAAGAAGGUGCAGAAUAGCCUACUUCCUUUAUUGAAUCACGUGCAAGACCAAGGGAGGGUGGUGGAUCUUCAAGAUGUCUUCAAUCGCUUCACUUUCGAUAACAUAUGUUCUACAGUUCUUGGUCGUGACCCCGAAUGCCUUUCCAUUGAUUUUCCAGAAGUUGCAAUCGAGAAGGCUUUUAACCAAGCAGAAGAGUCCAUAUUCUACAGACACGUAGUGCCGGGAAGUGUCUGGAAGCUCCAGAAAUGGCUCCAAAUUGGUCAAGAGAAGAAGAUGACAGAAUCAUGCAUAAUACUUGAUGAGUUCAUAUAUUCAUGCAUAGCGUCCAAGAGAGAAGAUCUAAGCAGGUAUGAGGAAAAUGAAACGGGAGAAACUUUUCAUGUUGACUUGUUAACAACUUUGAUGAGAGAAGGAAAGGGAAAAGGAGAAGCACAUGAAGAUAUAUUUCUAAGAGAUGCUGUGUUCAAUCUUUUUGUGGCUGGGAGAGAUACCAUAACUUCAGCUCUCACGUGGUUCUUCUGGCUUGUUGCUACAAACCCUUUGGUGGAAGCGAAGAUUGUUGAAGAGAUGAAUGAAAAGUUUGGAAGCAAUGAAAAGACAGUAUUAAGUGCAGAGGAGGUGAAAAAGCUGGUUUAUCUGCAUGGUGCUAUGUGUGAAACGUUGAGGCUGUUUCCUCCUAUACCAUUCGAACGCAAGAAAGCAAUUGAAGCUGACGUGCUUCCUAGUGGGCAUGGUGUUAAUCCGAGAACAAAGAUAUUACUAUUUUUGUAUGCAAUGGGAAGAGUUGAAGAAAUAUGGGGAGAAGAUUGCAUGGAGAUGAAGCCAGAGAGAUGGAUCUCAGAGAAAGGAGGUAUUGUUCAUGUACCAUCUUACAAAUUCAUUGCUUUCAAUGCAGGACCUCGAAAUUGCUUGGGGAAAGACUUGUCCUUUAUCCAAUUGAAGAUGGUGGCAGCAGCUAUUUUGCGCAGUUACCAUGUUCAACUGGUGGAGGGUUAUGUUGCAACUCCUACACUCUCCAUUGUUCUUCUUAUGAAGGAUGGUUUGAAGGUAAAUAUAACGAAAAGAAAGUCUUAGUUUGACUUCAAAAUUCGGACAUCAAACUUGGUAAAAAAGUAUGUCUUGUCGGUUGUGUAAUGUGUUCUGUCUGUAUCAUUUACAGCAUUUCGUUUCGGACAAUGAUAUUUUAACACUAUUUUUUGACAUUAUUGUGACACUGCACACGUGUCAAGAUGUGAUUGGACGAUUUCAAAUUAAAAAAGUUGAGGCAGGGAUAUAUUUGGAAGAGAAAAACCAAAAUUUGUUUUUUAAUUUGAAAUCGUCCAACCAUAUUUUGACACGUGUGCAGUAUCAAAAUGGUGUCAAAAAAUGAUGUUAAAAUUUUAUUUUCCUUUCGUUUCUGAUAAUAACAAAGGGAAAUAAUCAUUUUCAGGAUAAUGAUAUUUUAACAACAUUUUUUGACAACUUUUUUAACAACUGGACAUACAUGUUAUUAUUUUAUUGGUCUAUUUAAAUUUAUGUUUAAAAAAUAUUUAAAACGGACUAAUCACAAACUGUCAUGUAUGAAUUGUCAAAAAAUUAUUAAAAAAGUAUUGUUAAAAGAAGUUUUUCUUUUCAAUAACUUCACCAUAAUUUGUGUGUAUACCUUACCAUUUUAUGGAGAAUAUUAUUGAGAUUUUUCAGAUUAAGAUAUAUCUCUAAUUAUAAGUGAAUUUAAAUUUAACUUAUUCUCGUCAAACCAACUUAAAGACAAAAAAUACUUCCAUGUGUAUAUUUGAAAUAGACCAAAUAUUUAUUCAAUAUGAUAUCUUCAACGUUUAAGACUUAUAUUUUCGACAUUCAUAAUUACAUUACAUGGUUAUAGAAAAAUAUGAAGCAUUAAAAGAUAUUCAUAAUUUAUUCUAUGAAAAAAAUCAUAUAAUAUUAACAAAUUAAUAUGUCAAAUAUAUUAGCCAUUAGAAACAUAUUAGCCAUUAAAAAAAAUUGUUGAUAACAGGGAACAGAUUCUAGUAAUUUAUGUGAAAAUUGACAUUUAGUUGAUUAUGACUCUAAAUAUAAAAUGCCAUAUUUUAUGUUUUGGUUAGAAUUAUAAUAUAUGGUGUUUUUCUUUAUUUAAGAAAAAUCUUGUUCUUGAAACUUAAAAAUUGGGAAGAGUCACAAUACCUAGACAUCAUAAGGUUGUAUGUAUAUUCCGAUAUAAUGAUUUAAUAUAUAUUUUUAUUAUAGUUCUUUCAUUUUUCUAUUUCUGCUUCUCUUUUUCAUUUUUGUCACAUUUUUUUUUAUAUCUACGCCUUGUAUAUUUCUUUCUACUAUACACCAAAAAUAGGCAUUGCAUCAUACAAUGUCAUUCUUUAUUAUGAUUUAAGUUUCAUUUGUUUCUUGUAUGGUUAUUUAAUUAAUAUACAAGCAUUUCAAAUCUAUGGCAUGUUAGUUAGGUCUUAAUUAGCUGGAAUUCAUUUAACAUGCAUUCUAUGAAUGUAAUAUUUUCUUAAUUGUAGUCAUAUUUUAAUUUGGAUAAGAUCUCAAAUGGGUAUUUAUAAAAAUAAAUAUAAAUUUACUGUAUUUAUAAUUUUUACGAUUUUUUUUCUAAUCAUAGGUCCUACAUCAUUUUCUAUCUAUUUUAAGAGCUUGUCCUGGAAUACGAUGAAAUGGAAACAUAGAAGAAAAAUAUUAAAUCUAUUUACAAAAGAUAGUAUUGCAUCCAACCUAAUAUCUCAAAGCAUUAAAUGUGAGUCAAUUUUUCUUCCAUAUUUAUAUAUAUAUGUACGGUUGAAGUUACGUAUUUCGUAUUUCUUUUCUAAUAACUUGGUAUUUAUUUCACUGAUAUUUGUAAAAACGUAUAUGUGAUGUGAUAUGUUAACGUUUCGUGUACUAGCUACUUAACCGAUUGAGGUUACAAUAAAUUUUCAGAAUAAUAUCUCAUGGAUCUCAAAAAUGCCAUCAACACCUAAAUAAAAAUAAAAAGAGAUACAAAUAAUAAGAAAUUUACAAUAGCUUAGAAAGAAAAGUGUCAAGAAGGUAUUUGCAAAAAAAAAAAUAAAAAAAAUCUAAAUUUAUCAUAUGAAGAUAAAGAAAAUGAGUGAUAAUAUAUCCGAAAUAUUUGAAAUUGAAAAUGAGUGUAAACAUUGGCAUAGAAAAAAAAUCUAUUCACAUUUAAAUUUUUUAUAUUCAUUUAAUAUUAUUUUUAGUUAUUUUUUACUUUUAAAAAAAAAUAUAAAAAUUUACACUUUUAUUUUACUCUAAUAGUCUGUUAAAUAAAUGUAAAAAUAUAUUAUAUACUAUUUCACGUAGGAAAAGCUACUCUAAACAAACUCAAAUGAAAAUUAAAUUUCAAAUCAAAAUAAUUGGUGUAAAUUAAAUAUUAAUAAGAUAACUUUUCCAAACCAAUAUGUGCUAUUUCUGUCUGAAAACUUCAACAAUAAUUAAUUAAUGGAUUAAUAUUAGGAUCACACACUUUUAUACCUAUUUUACAUACAAAAUAAGAUGGUUAUAAAAAAUAAAUUUUUAUAUUUAAAAAAAAAAAAUUUUUAAAUAAAUAUAAAAGUUUAGAAAAAAAAUUCUUUAACCACUCUUUUUUAAUAAUUUUUUUACAACGUAUUUUUAUUCAUUUGUUUUAAAUAUUUUAUUAAUAUAAAUUUAAAUAAAGUAAUAAAAUGAUGACACUGUUCAAUUAUGAAAAAAAUUCUUAAAAUAUCAUUAUUAAAAAAUUUAUCAACGUGAAAGGAUAAUUUUUUUUGAAAAUAAUAUUUUAACACCAUUUUUU